This 253-nucleotide ribosomal RNA is filed under the name uncultured bacterium. Its description in RNAcentral is "partial 16S ribosomal RNA". It matches the Rfam family "Bacterial small subunit ribosomal RNA", at positions 524 to 776 of the family's 1533-position model. The record is from RNAcentral.
UACGAGGGGAGCAAGCGUUGUUCGGAUUUACUGGGCGUAAAGGGCGCGUAGGCGGCGUGACAAGUCACUUGUGAAAUCUCCGGGCUUAACCCGGAACGGUCAAGUGAAACUGUCGUGCUAGAGUACAGAAGGGGCAACUGGAAUUCUCGGUGUAGCGGUGAAAUGCGUAGAUAUCGAGAGGAACACCUGCGGCGAAGGCGGGUUGCUGGGCUGAUACUGACGCUGAUGCGCGAAAGCCAGGGGAGCGAACGGG